CUCUUGACCAGUUUGAAGAAGAUAGUCUAGCAGGAAAGAAGCGACUAAAGCCAGCUGCAGUUCCCAGCAUUUUCUGUGCUCACCAGUGUGCCAUAGUAUCUGACAAUAGCAGAUCAUGAUUGGCUCCUGACAAAAGUGAAGAAGCAGGGUUAUCACCAUCAAAGCUAGGUAACUAUCUAAUGAAGUUCACAAUUUAUCAAGAUUAUUGUUAU
Rhipicephalus microplus (southern cattle tick) is the source of this 212-nucleotide long non-coding RNA. Lineage: Eukaryota; Metazoa; Arthropoda; Arachnida; Ixodida; Ixodidae. The record is from RefSeq and is a predicted model, not a curated record.